RNAcentral lists this non-coding RNA (117 nucleotides) under Gorilla gorilla gorilla (western lowland gorilla). The record is from Rfam by way of RNAcentral. Lineage: Eukaryota; Metazoa; Chordata; Mammalia; Primates; Hominidae.
GCCAGGUGUGGUGGCUCACGCCUGUAAUCCCAGCACUUUGGGAGGCUGAGGUGGGUGGAUCACCUGAGGUCGGGAGUUCGAGACCAGCCUGACCAACAUGGAGAAACCCCAUCUCUA